This 401-nucleotide ribosomal RNA is filed under the name uncultured bacterium. RNAcentral's name for it is "bacterial SSU rRNA". It matches the Rfam family "Bacterial small subunit ribosomal RNA", at positions 30 to 429 of the family's 1533-position model. The record is from RNAcentral.
AUUGAACGCUGGCGGUAUGCUUAACACAUGCAAGUCGAACGGUAACAGGUCUAGCUUGCUAGAUGCUGACGAGUGGCGGACGGGUGAGUAACGCGUAGGAACCUGUCUAUGAGAGUGGGACAACUCGGGGAAACUCGAGCUAAUACCGGCAUACGUUCUGAGGAAGAAAGGCUGGAGUAAUCCAGGUCGCUCAUAGGGGGGCCUGCGUUGGAUUAGCUAGUUGUGGGGUAAAGGCCUACCAAGGCGACGAUCCAUAGCUGUUCUGAGAGGAAGAUCAGCCACACUGGGACUGAGACACGGCCCAGACUCCUACGGGAGGCAGCAGUGGGGAAUAUUGGGACAAUGGGCGCAAGCCUGAUCCAGCAAUACCGCGUGUGUGAAGAAGGCCUGAGGGUUGUAAA